Ictidomys tridecemlineatus (thirteen-lined ground squirrel) is the source of this 105-nucleotide small nuclear RNA. Lineage: Eukaryota; Metazoa; Chordata; Mammalia; Rodentia; Sciuridae. The record is from Ensembl.
GCGCUUACUUUGGCAGCAUAUAUACUAAAAUUUGAACUAUACAGAAGAUUAACAUGAUCCCUUCACAAAAAUGACACUCAAAUUGGUGAAGUGUUCCAUAUUUUU